UACGAAGGGGGCUAGCGUUGCUCGGAAUCACUGGGCGUAAAGGGUGCGUAGGCGGGUCUUUAAGUCAGGGGUGAAAUCCUGGAGCUCAACUCCAGAACUGCCUUUGAUACUGAAGAUCUUGAGUUCGGGAGAGGUGAGUGGAACUGCGAGUGUAGAGGUGAAAUUCGUAGAUAUUGGGAAGAACACCGGUGGCGAAGGCGGCUCACUGGCUCAUAUCUGACGCUCAGGCGCGACAGCGUGGGGAUCAAACAGG
Molecule: ribosomal RNA, 253 nt
Filed under: uncultured bacterium
Lineage: Bacteria
Description: partial 16S ribosomal RNA
Rfam family: Bacterial small subunit ribosomal RNA
Source: RNAcentral